CAGUCGCCGCGGUAAUACGUAGGGUGCAAGCGUUAAUCGGAAUUACUGGGCGUAAAGCGUGCGCAGGCGGUUUGUUAAGUCUGCUGUGAAAUCCCCGGGCUCAACCUGGGAAUGGCAGUGGAUACUGGCUCGCUAGAGUGUGUCAGAGGAUGGUGGAAUUCCCGGUGUAGCGGUGGAAUGCGUAGAGAUCGGGAGGAACAUCAGUGGCGAAGGCGGCCAUCUGGGACAACACUGACGCUGAGGCACGAAAGCGUGGGGAGCAAACAGGAUUAGAUACCCCAGUAGUCCCUGUCUCUUAUAC
This 301-nucleotide ribosomal RNA is filed under the name uncultured bacterium. RNAcentral describes it as "partial 16S ribosomal RNA". It matches the Rfam family "Bacterial small subunit ribosomal RNA", at positions 509 to 807 of the family's 1533-position model. The record is from RNAcentral.